GAGGGGAUAGCUCAGUAGUAGAGUGCACGCUUAGCAUGCACGAGAUCCUGGGUUCAACCCCUAGUACCUCCA
RNAcentral lists this transfer RNA (72 nucleotides) under Camelus bactrianus (Bactrian camel). It matches the Rfam family "tRNA". Rfam says of the family: Transfer RNA (tRNA) molecules are approximately 80 nucleotides in length. Their secondary structure includes four short double-helical elements and three loops (D, anti-codon, and T loops). The record is from Rfam by way of RNAcentral. RNAcentral also lists the same sequence under 2 other names. Lineage: Eukaryota; Metazoa; Chordata; Mammalia; Artiodactyla; Camelidae.